Octopus sinensis (East Asian common octopus) is the source of this 256-nucleotide long non-coding RNA. RefSeq lists it as uncharacterized. Lineage: Eukaryota; Metazoa; Mollusca; Cephalopoda; Octopoda; Octopodidae. The transcript is spliced from 3 exons. The record is from RefSeq and is a predicted model, not a curated record.
AAUGGGAAUGGCUUUUCCCUAACCUUUUAGUAGGUAGAAUAUUUUGGCUAUAUCUGACCAAAACAUUCUAUUUGUUUUAUGUUCAAACUGACCAGAUCUUGCCUCUCACACUUACCCUAGAAUAUGAUUCUGAAAAUAAACAAUCACAUCACUAUAAUCUCAAAGUUAUGAGAUAAUGCAUGAUUAAUUCAAAACAAUGUUAAUGAAUAGACUUUACAUUUAAUAGAGUAAGCUGAAAGCUAAAGGUUUAAAGUAA